RNAcentral lists this unclassified non-coding RNA (390 nucleotides) under Hevea brasiliensis (rubber tree). Lineage: Eukaryota; Viridiplantae; Streptophyta; Magnoliopsida; Malpighiales; Euphorbiaceae. The record is from RNAcentral.
GAAAGCUCUAUAGACAGCAAAAAACUCAAGUAAGCUUGCUAAUUAUGCUAUGAAAUCAAUAAUAAAGUAGUUACACAGCUAACAAUGCUUAAAAAUACUAAAUGGCUAUGGAAAUGACAAAUCCGACACCUAUAUUUCAAAAUAAGUUACACGCACAUGCAGAAUCAAUAUAUAUGCUUCUGAGAGUUUACGUGCUUUCUCUAAUAAAAAUGAGAUACUUCUCGCAAAUAUGCAAAGUUAAAAGCAAGAUAGCAAUACAGAAUAUGGAAAAGCUAAAGAAAAAAUAGGCAUCCUAUGCUAAAUUGUCCAACAACAAAUGGACAAUAUACACAAAAAUAAACACACAAGAACUUGUAGCAAUAAAACUAAAGUACCUUCCCAAGCAUCAUA